CACAGUGACAGGAAACAGCAAAACUCUGUACAAAAACCUUUGGAGCAAAGACAACAGAAUACUCCACAACAUCCACUAGAGGGAGCCACACACUGUUAAACCUCUGAUUCUUGUGUCAUUGGACUGAUGACAAAGACAACAGAGAAAUGAAGCAGUAAAGAUCAGAGACAGAGACAGAGCUGCUGUGGAAGCACAAAACUGUUUGAUUGGCUGAGCUAUUAAACUGGCCCCGCCCACUGAAGUUGAGCUCAUCCAAUGACAUUAUUUGUUGGUCAUUGUGCUGCAGUGGAAGAACAUUGUUCAUGUGCUGUCUGUCUGGCUUUAAUAACUCCAAAGACAUGUUGCUGCACCUCUUUUUGCUUCUAUCUCACAUUAUAGGACUAACAGCUGGAGACUCAAUCACUCCUCAACAACCUGAAGUCAC
Long non-coding RNA from Haplochromis burtoni (Burton's mouthbrooder), 424 nucleotides. RefSeq lists it as uncharacterized. The transcript is spliced from 2 exons. The record is from RefSeq and is a predicted model, not a curated record. NCBI's taxonomy places the organism in Eukaryota, Metazoa, Chordata, Actinopteri, Cichliformes, Cichlidae.